This 468-nucleotide ribosomal RNA is filed under the name uncultured bacterium. RNAcentral's name for it is "partial 16S ribosomal RNA". It matches the Rfam family "Bacterial small subunit ribosomal RNA", at positions 28 to 507 of the family's 1533-position model. The record is from RNAcentral.
GACGAACGCUGGCGGCGUGCUUAACACAUGCAAGUCGAACGGAAAGGCCCUGCUUUUGUGGGGUGCUCGAGUGGCGAACGGGUGAGUAACACGUGAGUAACCUGCCCUUGACUUUGGGAUAACUUCAGGAAACUGGGGCUAAUACCGGAUAGGAGCUCCUGCUGCAUGGUGGGGGUUGGAAAGUUUCGGCGGUUGGGGAUGGACUCGCGGCUUAUCAGCUUGUUGGUGGGGUAGUGGCUUACCAAGGCUUUGACGGGUAGCCGGCCUGAGAGGGUGACCGGCGACCUUGGGACUGAGAUACGGCCCAGACUCCUACGGGAGGCAGCAGUGGGGAAUAUUGCACAAUGGGCGUAAGCCUGAUGCAGCAACGCCGCGUGCGGGAUGACGGCCUUCGGGUUGUAAACCGCUUUCGCCUGUGCCGAAGCGUGAGUGACGGUAAUGGGUAAAGAAGCACCGGCUAACUACGUG